Unclassified non-coding RNA from Callithrix jacchus (white-tufted-ear marmoset), 288 nucleotides. It matches the Rfam family "Metazoan signal recognition particle RNA". From Rfam's summary of the family: The signal recognition particle (SRP) is a universally conserved ribonucleoprotein. It is involved in the co-translational targeting of proteins to membranes. NCBI's taxonomy places the organism in Eukaryota, Metazoa, Chordata, Mammalia, Primates, Cebidae. The record is from Ensembl.
GCCGGGCGCGGUGAUGGGUGCCUGUAGUCCCAACUACUCGGGAGGCUGAGGUGGGAGGAUCGCUUGAGCCCAGGAGUUCUGGGCUGUAGUGCGCUAUGCCGAUCAGGUGUCCGUGCUAAGUUCGGCAUCAAUACAGUGACCUCCCGGGAGCGGGAGACCACCAGGUUGGCUAAGGAGGGGUGAACUGGCCCAGGUUGGAAACGGAGCAGGUCAAAACUCCGGGGCUGAUCAGUAGUGGGGAUAGCUACUGCACUCCAGCCUGGGGAACAUAGUGAGAUCCUGUCCCUU